RNAcentral lists this ribosomal RNA (645 nucleotides) under Triticum aestivum (bread wheat). RNAcentral describes it as "partial small subunit ribosomal RNA". The record is from RNAcentral. Lineage: Eukaryota; Viridiplantae; Streptophyta; Magnoliopsida; Poales; Poaceae.
AUGCAACCAGGGGCGAGCCCUCCACUCCCUCAAGCCCAUCAGGAGGUGGAUCGAUCGGCCCCGAUGGGCACCGCAUCGACACAGAAAACCGGGGGCCGGCGCAUAAGGUGUAUGUUCUGCCUUCGGUCAGAGGCCCGUAGUGAAGACUAUUUCAAGUUUUGGGGCACACCUAUGAAUCAAUGGAUAUCUCUUGCCACAUCACUGUUUGAAGGUCAAGCUGCACGGUGGCUAGAAUCAGCGCGCCGUCGAGUUUCCAAUGUGACCUGGGACGAGUUCUACCGUUUGCUGCAGUCCAAGUUCGACCGUAACCUGCAUCAGUCGGUUUUGAGGAAAUUUUUCAAUAUUCAGCAAACUGUCACAGUGGAAGACUAUGUAGAUCGUUUCUCAGACUUGUUUGAUCAGCUGACAUCAUAUGAGCAAUACCCCAACACUGUGCACCAUGUCACACGAUUCAUGGAGGGGCUUAAGCCAGUGGUCAGAGUAGCAGUGGGCAUACAGCAACCACCAGACCUGGACACGGCCUACCAAUUGGCCCUAUUGCACGAGGAGUUGGGCGCAAGUAGUCUGUCUGCGAUCACCAGCAGCAGCCACUCAACGCGUCGAGCAGCGGCUCUUCCCCUUCCUCCACUACCCAAUAGUUCUUAG